RNAcentral lists this ribosomal RNA (666 nucleotides) under Fictibacillus sp. RNAcentral describes it as "bacterial SSU rRNA". It matches the Rfam family "Bacterial small subunit ribosomal RNA", at positions 61 to 709 of the family's 1533-position model. Lineage: Bacteria; Bacillati; Bacillota; Bacilli; Caryophanales; Fictibacillaceae. The record is from RNAcentral.
GUCGGAGCGAAUGAUGAGGAGCUUGCUCCUCUGAUUUAGCGGCGGACGGGUGAGUAACACGUGGGUAAUCUGCCUGUAAGACGGGGAUAACUCCGGGAAACCGGGGCUAAUACCGGAUAAUAAGAGAAGAAGCAUUUCUUCUUUUUGAAAGUCGGUUUCGGCUGACACUUACAGAUGAGCCCGCGGCGCAUUAGCUAGUUGGUGAGGUAACGGCUCACCAAGGCGACGAUGCGUAGCCGACCUGAGAGGGUGAUCGGCCACACUGGGACUGAGACACGGCCCAGACUCCUACGGGAGGCAGCAGUAGGGAAUCUUCGGCAAUGGGCGAAAGCCUGACCGAGCAACGCCGCGUGAGCGAUGAAGGCCUUCGGGUCGUAAAGCUCUGUUGUUAGAGAAGAACAAGUACGAGAGUAACUGCUCGUACCUUGACGGUACCUAACCAGAAAGCCACGGCUAACUACGUGCCAGCAGCCGCGGUAAUACGUAGGUGGCAAGCGUUAUCCGGAAUUAUUGGGCGUAAAGCGCGCGCAGGCGGUCUCUUAAGUCUGAUGUGAAAGCCCACGGCUCAACCGUGGAGGGUCAUUGGAAACUGGGAGACUUGAGUGCAGGAGAGAAAAGUGGAAUUCCACGUGUAGCGGUGAAAUGCGUAGAGAUGUGGAGGAACAC